CCUUCGUCCUAAAACUAUUGUUCAUGUCCAACGUUUGACCGUUCAUCUUAUUUGAAAAUUUUUUAUGAUUAGUAUUUUUGUUGUUAUUAGAUGAUAAAAUAUGAAUAGUAUUUUAUGUGUGACUAAAUUUUAAAAAAAAUUGUAAAUUUUUUAAGUAAGACGGACGAUUAAACGUUGGACACGGAUUUCUAAGUCUACACUUAUU
Molecule: non-coding RNA, 205 nt
Organism: Oryza nivara
Lineage: Eukaryota; Viridiplantae; Streptophyta; Magnoliopsida; Poales; Poaceae
Source: Rfam